CACUAAAAAUACUUGUAUUAGAGUCUUGAAUUGGCGCUUUUUAAUUUAGCUGGUUUAGCAAAAAUAAAGGUUUAGGACUUGAUUGCAUCAAUUGAAAUAUUUAAACCUUUGGUGCUACUCGUACAGAAGGGUUUAUGACUUCUCUCCCGGUUCUUUUUAACAUGAGCAUUAUUAACAAAAAGUCAAUUUCGUUAGGUUUUCUACACGAAUAUGGAGAUUGUGUCAAGCCCAUCACGUGCGAGUUGAAGAUGUUGGACUUUUUUAACUGAGUUGGGCCGACCUCUGGGCUGACUCAACCCAAGCAAGCAAGAAAUCUCCGAAUAAAGCUGCAAGCAAUCGAAAGAUCAAAGCAUCAUGGUAGGAUAAACAAUCGAAAGAUGAAAGCACUAUGGUAGGAGAAAUACAAGUGUUAGUCCAAAUGCGUGAUUACACAAGCGAUCGGCUCGGAUAACGUAAGGAUUACGUAUAGCAAUAUUGUUCUUGGGAUUUGAGCUUUAAACAUACAAGAAAUUAGGAUCCUAGACUUAAAAGUGAUUAGCGAUUCACUUAAUUAUUAUUAACGGUUGAGACUUAGAAAUAGAUCGAAUCGUACCUUAAGAAUCAACCAUCGGCAGAUUUCGAUUACUAUGCAUUUGGUAGAUUGAACUAAUCGAAAAUCUUAUGCAUUGUACUUUUUUAGUGAAUGAUAACUAGACCUAGCAUAAGGGGUUAAAGAAAAAGCUGAUCAUCCGUGCCUAGCUGGGGAGGGGCAAGCAAGGGUUGUAGCUAGGGGUGAGCGGUUCCCGGUUCCUUACAGGUUCCGCUUGGAACCUGGAACCUACCCUCGGGUACAGGUUCCUCAUUUUUUGGAACCUGGAACCUACCCGUCAGAACCAAGAACCUGGAACCUACCCUGUCACAGGUUCCAGGGUCGGUUCCAGGUUCCAACAGGUUCCAACAGGUUCUUUAUUUUUUUUAUUUUUCAUUUUUAGAUUAAAAAAAUGGAAAAUAAUGCAGCAAUAAUAACGACAUAGCCAUGAAUCCUGCAACCUGAUGCUAGAACACACUUCACAUGCUAAACCGACUUGAAGCUAUUGAAGAUGCCCAAUAAACUGAUGUUACUCUUAUUUAGACAUUGCAGAUAGCAAACCAAUACCACAUAAGUUGAAAUUCCUCAGAAUUGACACAACUAAAAGCUCCCCAAUGUCUGGAAGGACGACCACUAAUAAUCACUACCACACUAUGAGAACAAGCACCACCGUGACCUCAACAAGCACUGAACAGGAAAAGCAGGUCCAACACAAGCCUAUAAGUCUCAUCUAAAUAAGAAGAUCAGGCCAAUCAUUAGCAGAACCGAUCAAAGGCACUGAACGUUGAACACAAUGUGUUGUAACAGCGACAAGCUUAACAAGACAUAAAGUUGAAGCAACAUUAAAAUUCACUAAAAUCCCAUCUCUGAUACUAUCAAAACCACAUGAAGCAACAGAAACUACCACAAUUCGCAGAUCAUCGGAUAUAAAAAAUGCUUGUGCUCGAGAGUAACAAAGCAGCACUGUAUCUAAGCAGCUAUUUGCUUCCUUAAAAGUCUUCAAUUCGCUUAAAAGCAAUAAUCAGAAAAGCAUCAAGGUCUCUUUCGCAACAACUAAAAAGCUCUAACCCAAAGCAAAAGCAACUCCUCCCAUGAAAACACCUCAGAACCCUAGCUUGGUGCGGCGCCAGUGCCUACGCUUCGCAUUGUACCUGAACGAUUUCGGCGACAAAAAUUAGGCCACAAAAAAAUAAAAUAAAAUAAAAAGACGGCUUUUUUUGGACAAAACGUGAAGGAAAGUGUUGUCAGUUCGCAUGCGAAUCCAGGGAGGGAUGGGCCUGUUCGGUUCCGGUUCUUCUUCACCAGCUUCUUCUUGAUCUGGCGACGGCGAGCACGCGGCGACGGUGGCGCGACGGCGACGAAGGCACGAGACUCACGGCACCAACGGCGGCAUGAACGGCGCACUGAAGAAGGCGGCAGCCGCGGCUCAACCCACGGCCAAGGGGGGAAGAGCUCAGUUCGGGCGGAGGUGGUGACGGUUCGGAGCAACGAUGGCUCGGACGGCCGAGCAAGCUGCAGCAAGAGGUGGUGAUGGUGGCUUGGGGACGGCGGCGGUGCCUCACGGUGGCGCGGAAGGCAAGACAGCUCGUCGGACUCAACGGAGAGACGGCUUGUUGGACGAGCAGUGGGUGGUGGGGGUUUGGUGGCCAAGAGGUGGUGGUGAGUAGGGCGUGGGGCGGCGGUGUGGUGGUGGGUGAAGCAGCAACCGGCGAGAGGAAGGAAGAAGAAGAAGAAGAAGAAGAAGAAGAAGAAGAAGAGGUGGGGGGGUUCGGCCGAGAGAGGGGGAAAGAGAAGAGAGAGAGAGAGAGAGAGGAAAAGAAAAAAGUGGGGGGCAGGAAGUGACGUGAGGAGGAAAAGGUGGAGAAAAGAGAGAGGGAAAAAGAAAGGGAAAGGGGGGAAAGUUGAACGGAAGGGG
This 2483-nucleotide long non-coding RNA is filed under the name Eucalyptus grandis. RNAcentral describes it as "long non-coding RNA (EGRA_LNC004896)". The record is from RNAcentral. Lineage: Eukaryota; Viridiplantae; Streptophyta; Magnoliopsida; Myrtales; Myrtaceae.